UGGGGAAUAUUGCACAAUGGGCGCAAGCCUGAUGCAGCAACGCCGCGUGAACGAUGAAGGUCUUCGGAUCGUAAAGUUCUGUUGCAGGGGAAGAUAAUGACGGUACCCUGUGAGGAAGCCCCGGCUAACUACGUGCCAGCAGCCGCGGUAAUACGUAGGGGGCUAGCGUUAUCCGGAUUUACUGGGCGUAAAGGGUGCGUAGGUGGUCUUUCAAGUCGGUGGUUAAAGGCUACGGCUCAACCGUAGUUAGCCUCCGAAACUGGAAGACUUGAGUGCAGGAGAGGAAAGUGGAAUUCCCAGUGUAGCGGUGAAAUGCUUAGAUAUCAUGAAGAACUCCGAUUGCGAAGGCAGCUUACGGGAGCGCAACUGACGCUGAAGCUCGAAGGUGCGGGUAUCGAACAGG
Molecule: ribosomal RNA, 403 nt
Filed under: Verrucomicrobiota bacterium
Lineage: Bacteria; Pseudomonadati; Verrucomicrobiota
Description: Verrucomicrobia bacterium partial 16S ribosomal RNA
Rfam family: Bacterial small subunit ribosomal RNA
Source: RNAcentral